RNAcentral lists this ribosomal RNA (253 nucleotides) under uncultured bacterium. RNAcentral describes it as "partial 16S ribosomal RNA". It matches the Rfam family "Bacterial small subunit ribosomal RNA", at positions 524 to 776 of the family's 1533-position model. The record is from RNAcentral.
UACGUAGGCAGCGAGCGUUGUUCGGAAUUACUGGGCGUAAAGAGUGUGUAGGCGGUGCUCUAAGUUCGGUGUGAAAUCUCCCGGCUUAACUGGGAGGGUGCGCCGGAAACUGGAGUGCUCGAGCGUGGGAGAGGAAAGCGGAAUUCCUGGUGUAGCGGUGAAAUGCGUAGAUAUCGGGAGGAACACCAGUGGCGAAGGCGAUCAUCUGGGGUUGUUCUGACACUGAGGAGCGAAAGCUAGGGGAGCAAACGGG